GGGCCAUCUCUGAGAGAGGCUGAAUGCAGUGACCGUCCCCACUGCUGGAGCCAACACCCCCCCAGGCCCAUCUGUAUACCAAGCUUGUGCCUCCUCAUCUCUCCACUGUUCAUAGGGAAUCCCCACUCGGCCUGAAGUGUAAGUUGAAUGAGAGGUAGCAACGAAUCAGCCUAGGCACCGCGGCAGUCUGAGCCACCUGAUCAUGCAGUCACUUGUGUCUUGCCAAAAUCCAGAAUUGAGAAGGAAACAAGAACAACGGCAGGAGAUGCUCCCUUCCUCUGCUUGAAGUCUCGGCUUAACAUCGCUCUGUGAGAUUAUCAGUGGACCUGAAAAUGGGAAGAGUCCGUCCUUUGAUUUGCCAAAAUGUAUCACCAAGAACUAACACACAAAGCUUAAAGCUUAACAGCAUACGUUUGUAGUCACGUAGACUUGAGUUCAAAUUGUGGCUCUGCCAUCACUGGCUCCUUGACCUUAGAAAAGCCAAUAACCUCUCUGUGGUCUACAAAAUGGGGAUUACCACUCCACCCACCUUAUAGGGCUGUAAUGAAGACGAAACACAAUAACACGUCACAGUGGUUAACGCAGUACCCGGUAUGUUAGACAUGUUCAAUUAAUCCAGCUAUUAUUAUUGAGUAAUAGUUCCUUAUUGCUACUCUACUGUAGAAUCUUCUAAAGUUAAGCUUAAAGAGCUCUCAAAUCCAUACGCUGUAGGUGCUUCUAAACUGAAAAGUUUAUGCCUCCUCCUCAGACCCGCCUUGGUUACCACAUCUCAAGCAGCAGGUCACCACUUCAGUAAGGCAUUCUGACUCAGAAAGUUUACACAUUUAGAGAUUAUUGUUAUCUGCUAUGCUCUAUUACAGCAUUCUUCUCUGUCAGAAAUUGAAGCACUUUUGGGCCAACGCUACUCAGAAAGAAGAAAAGUUAUUAAAACGAGAAAUUUAAAAAACAUACACAAGCAUUAGUGCCUAAAUUAACUGAAAGUACAUAAUGCCGACAGUGGGCAAGUGAUCUGGCAAUGGUGGUGGCUGACAUCACAGUCAUUUUCAGCUAACCAAGCUGUUCUUUAAGGGACUAAGACAAAAAUGGAGGCUUUCUGAAUUUUCAGACACCUGUCUUUAAUUAUUGACCUAUCUUGUUAGUGAAUCCCAAAGAUGGCAGUAAAGCUCAGAAACAGUAUUUCUUUCUUUCCAGCUGACGCUGAUAAGGACCUAUCAGAGUGGCCACUUACUUAUGGUUUCUAGAAACGCAAUUGAAGUUCAAGGUCUGGGCUCCACUGAAGUGACCAUUAGCAAAGUUCCAAAAAAGAAAGAAUGUGGGGGAGAUGGUGGCUGAUGAGAGAGAUGGUUCUCUCUUUUAAUUUCCACUCCCUGAAAGCUCUAGUCUCCACCCAUAGCUGCAGCCAACUGUGAAACUGAGACCACCGGGUCAUCUGCUUGUAUAAAUAUGGCCAUGCAGCUAGUGAUUCUGAGCAUCCGACCAAAUGAUGAUAAAUUCUCUGCAAAUCAUUUUUAAGUCCUGCUUAGACAGCUGUUUAUGUAUAGGUAUGCUCAAAGGAGUGGCCUCAGGUCAGGUCCAAGUCUUUUAUGAAACUCAUGGCUCCUGGCACGAGCCCAGAUUGCUCAUUUCUAUCCUGCCUUGCAUCAGAAUAAUCAAAUUAGACCUUAAGCUAUUAAAAUGAAGACAGAUGCACUAGAAUACUCUAACCAGAAUGGGAAAAGUGGUGUAAUUUCUCCUCCUGGGCAUUUGCUGUAUUAAUGAAACGUGGCCAAAAGUCCUGUGCUGACCAGACACAGGGCCCCUGUGUCAAGUAAAUAUAUAACAGAGGGAAACAAGGACAACUCCACAGGUGACAAGGGUGCAAAGGGUUUGUUGUUCCAACAUAAAAAACACAAAAUUUGCUAAGCAAAAUUGAAGUGAGAAACUAGGAACAUAGACAUAUAUAUAUACAUAUUUUUUCAUUCCCAAGGUAUAAAUGCAUAAAUUGAGUCUUUAUAAACUAAAGAAAAAAGACAUGAAGGCAGUAAAAUAAAACAUUAACAGUGAGUUGUGAUAUGAUGGGUAGUUUGGGUUAUUUUCUUCAAAACUUAAGUAUUUUCUACACUUCAACUUUUCUACAAUGAAUCUAUAUUACUUUAACAAAUAGGAGCAUUUACCCAAAAAAGUGGAAUUUUUUUUUUUUAACUAAACAGACUCAACGCAAACAGCUGGAACCAGAGCAGACUUAAAAGCAGAGUUAAACUCAACACUCCUUGCUAAGGAAACCCGAUCAUGAUUCUCAGCCGAGGCCAUCUCCAGCAUCCUGUCUGGGACCGGGCAGAGGGUUAGCUGAGAGAUGCUGGGAAGUCCGCUUUGGCUGGUGGUUCCAACAACACUUCUAGUCCUGAGACAAAAACCAGGAGAGUACAGUUGUUCCUGAUUGGUGGUAAGAUAACACUCAAAUUGAAAACGAUGAUUCGUCAGCUUUAUGGAGAGAACACAGGCUCACACCUCCCAAUAUGUCUCAGUCUGCAAUUAAUUGUCAAUGUGCCAUUAGAAGCCAGCCUCACAGUUAUUAAACAAAGCAAAGAUGGUGAAAACAAAACAAGUUUAUGAUCUACAACAAAGAAAAAGAGCCAAUAGAAUCGGGGACAAUACUCCAUGUGAAAAAAUAUUGUCCAACUGGAAGAGAGGAAGCAACUGAUUAUUAUGCAAAAAAAAGAGGCAACUACAAAAAAGAAUGGGGAGAGGAGGAAAAGGCACACGGAUUGAAACAAUCGUGGUCAGAAAGAGCAGGAGCUGAUGUCAUACUUGGCACUCGCUGAAGUAAUACUCAUUCCUCUGAGGGAUGGUUGAAUACGUUAAGGAAAAAUAAAAAAUAUACUAUUUGCAACCAUACCAGACUUGAUCAGGAAUGAACUCCAGAGACAUCUAUGCAUGUGGAAGAAGAUAGACACCAACCAGUUUGCGUCACAACCUGGCUGUCACGUCCCACUUACCGAAGAACUUACCACUGACGGUUUGAAAGAAAAUGCAUAUUUGUUUUUAUCAAAUAAACUCAGGAAAAUAGUACUAAAAAAUCUAUGAGUUUCAAAAGAGGUUUGGCUAAGUGCUUACAACGUCCACUGCAGUGUUUGAAGCAGCUGCCCUCCUUAGCAAAGUUGCCUGGGAACUGACCAGCCCAAAGAAGGCCUGGACCACCGUAUUUCAGUCAAAGUGUUCAGGAGCAGAAGCAAGAGAUAGCCAAACUACGCACAUCUCCAGUCUAUAAAUGCGGACUGCUAUAAGUUGAAAUAUCCUAAAUCGUCUUUGCGAGUCUCCUUUUCUUAGCUGUUCAUAAUCGUGGAUUUCCACUCAUGCAUCUCACGUUAUCCCCUUGGAAGGAAUUCACUAAAAUGUUCAUGGUAUAUUCACUACACUUGGGUGCACACCAAGUCAACAUUUAUUAGAUGUUUCUGAAUAUGAUUAUUUCAAUAGAUAUUUUUGGCAUUGUUUUUUAAUUAAAGAAAUUGUUUUUGUAUCCUAUCCUAUUCUAACUGUCCCAGCUUGCCCCUCAAGGAGUGUAAUCUCUUCCUUCUUCAGGUCUUGAUGGCUUCUGUACCUCUCUUAGGAAAUACUCUAUUUUACCUUUA
This is a non-coding RNA of Equus caballus (horse), 3608 nucleotides long. The record is from RefSeq and is a predicted model, not a curated record. Lineage: Eukaryota; Metazoa; Chordata; Mammalia; Perissodactyla; Equidae.